RNAcentral lists this long non-coding RNA (268 nucleotides) under Gossypium barbadense (sea-island cotton). RNAcentral describes it as "long non-coding RNA (GBAR_LNC013829)". The record is from RNAcentral. Lineage: Eukaryota; Viridiplantae; Streptophyta; Magnoliopsida; Malvales; Malvaceae.
ACACUAAAACAUUCAAAGUUUUAGAGAUAUCUUUUCCCUGCAUAUUUUCCAAUCUAUUUUCCGGUGAUAAACGAAGGUAAGGCCACUGUUCGUUGAUCGUUGCAGCUAUGCUACUGCCGUGCUCAUCUUGUUGUUGUAUCCUGGGAGACAAUCGACUGACGUUUCUCCAACACCAAAGGAGCGGCCAAAUCUAUCUUAAGGAGACUGUCUAAUCAGGCCUCAACUACCAGUAUAAUAUUUCUAUUUAAUUUUUUUUUUCUGUUUUCCA